GCGGAGGUUUAGCUCAGUGGUUACUUCUCAGUACUCGUUACACUGUCUCCCUAUCGGUCCGCGGGCCCGGGGUACGAACCACGGGCGCUGUCUUCCGUCUUU
Molecule: vault RNA, 102 nt
Filed under: Echeneis naucrates (live sharksucker)
Lineage: Eukaryota; Metazoa; Chordata; Actinopteri; Carangiformes; Echeneidae
Description: Vault RNA (ENSENLG00000016180.1)
Rfam family: Vault RNA
About the family: This family of RNAs are found as part of the enigmatic vault ribonucleoprotein complex. The complex consists of a major vault protein (MVP), two minor vault proteins (VPARP and TEP1), and several small untranslated RNA molecules.
Source: Rfam by way of RNAcentral